Molecule: ribosomal RNA, 461 nt
Filed under: uncultured bacterium
Lineage: Bacteria
Description: partial 16S ribosomal RNA
Rfam family: Bacterial small subunit ribosomal RNA
Source: RNAcentral
CCUACGGGAGGCAGCAGUGAGGAAUAUUGGUCAAUGGGCGAGAGCCUGAACCAGCCAAGUCGCGUGAAGGAUGACGGCCCUACGGGUUGUAAACUUCUUUUGUCAGGGAGCAAUUGAGUCCACGUGUGGUCUUAGCGAGAGUACCUGAAGAAAAAGCAUCGGCUAACUCCGUGCCAGCAGCCGCGGUAAUACGGAGGAUGCGAGCGUUAUCCGGAAUGACUGGGCGUAAAGGGGGCGGAGGUGGUUUGACAAGUUAGUAGCGUAAUUCCGGGGCUCAACUUCGGAACUACUACUAAAACUGUUGGGCUUGAGUGCAGGAGAGGUGAAUGGAAUUCCUAGUGUAGCGGUGGAAUGCGUAGAUAUUAGGAGGAACACCAGCGGCGAAAGCGAUUCACUGGACUGUAACUGACACUGAGGCACGAAAGCGUGGGGAGCAAACAGGAUUAGAUACCCCAGUAGUC